RNAcentral lists this ribosomal RNA (253 nucleotides) under uncultured bacterium. RNAcentral describes it as "partial 16S ribosomal RNA". It matches the Rfam family "Bacterial small subunit ribosomal RNA", at positions 524 to 776 of the family's 1533-position model. The record is from RNAcentral.
UACGUAGGGGGCUAGCGUUGUCCGGAAUCAUUGGGCGUAAAGAGCGCGUAGGCGGCCAGAUAAGUCCGGUGUGAAAGUCACAGGCUCAACCUGUGAAUGCCGCUGGAAACUGUCUGGCUAGAGUCCGGAAGGGGCGAGUGGAAUUCCUGGUGUAGCGGUGAAAUGCGCAGAUAUCAGGAGGAACACCGGUGGCGAAGGCGGGUCUCUGGGCAGUAACUGACGCUGAGGAGCGAAAGCGUGGGGAGCGAACAGG